CAGCCGCCGCGGUAAUACGAAGGGUGCAAGCGUUACUCGGAAUUACUGGGCGUAAAGCGUGCGUAGGUGGUGGUUUAAGUCCGUUGUGAAAGCCCUGGGCUCAACCUGGGAAUUGCAGUGGAUACUGGGUCACUAGAGUGUGGUAGAGGAUAGUGGAAUUUCCGGUGUAGCAGUGAAAUGCGUAAAGAUCGGAAGGAACAUCUGUGGCGAAGGCGACUAUCUGGGCCAACACUGACACUGAGGCACGAAAGCGUGGGGAGCAAACAGGAUUAGAUACCCCGGUAGUCCCUGUCUCUUAUAC
RNAcentral lists this ribosomal RNA (301 nucleotides) under uncultured bacterium. RNAcentral's name for it is "partial 16S ribosomal RNA". It matches the Rfam family "Bacterial small subunit ribosomal RNA", at positions 509 to 807 of the family's 1533-position model. The record is from RNAcentral.